AGAGUUUGAUCAUGGCUCAGGAUGAACGCUGACAGAAUGCUUAACACAUGCAAGUCAACUUGAACUUCGGUUUGGGUGGCGGACGGGUGAGUAACGCGUAAAGAACUUGCCUCACAGUUAGGGACAACAUUUGGAAACGAAUGCUAAUACCUGAUAUUAUGAUUUUAGGGCAUCCUAAGAUUAUGAAAGCUAUAUGCGCUGUGAGAGAGCUUUGCGUCCCAUUAGCUAGUUGGAGAGGUAACGGCUCACCAAGGCGAUGAUGGGUAGCCGGCCUGAGAGGGUGAACGGCCACAAGGGGACUGAGACACGGCCCUUACUCCUACGGGAGGCAGCAGUGGGGAAUAUUGGACAAUGGACCAAGAGUCUGAUCCAGCAAUUCUGUGUGCACGAUGAAGUUUUUCGGAAUGUAAAGUGCUUUCAGUUGGGAAGAAAAAAAUGACGGUACCAACAGAAGAAGUGACGGCUAAAUACGUGCCAGCAGCCGCGGUAAUACGUAUGUCACAAGCGUUAUCCGGAUUUAUUGGGCGUAAAGCGCGUCUAGGUGGUUAUGUAAGUCUGAUGUGAAAAUGCAGGGCUCAACUCUGUAUUGCGUUGGAAACUGUGUAACUAGAGUACUGGAGAGGUAAGCGGAACUACAAGUGUAGAGGUGAAAUUCGUAGAUAUUUGUAGGAAUGCCGAUGGGGAAGCCAGCUUACUGGACAGAUACUGACGCUAAAGCGCGAAAGCGUGGGUAGCAAACAGGAUUAGAUACCCCGGUAGUCCAA
This 764-nucleotide ribosomal RNA is filed under the name uncultured bacterium. Its description in RNAcentral is "bacterial SSU rRNA". It matches the Rfam family "Bacterial small subunit ribosomal RNA", at positions 8 to 798 of the family's 1533-position model. The record is from RNAcentral.